This 492-nucleotide ribosomal RNA is filed under the name uncultured bacterium. RNAcentral describes it as "partial 16S ribosomal RNA". It matches the Rfam family "Bacterial small subunit ribosomal RNA", at positions 29 to 507 of the family's 1533-position model. The record is from RNAcentral.
AGUGAACGCUGGCGGUAGGCCUAACACAUGCAAGUCGAACGGCAGCACAGUAAGAGCUUGCUCUUACGGGUGGCGAGUGGCGGACGGGUGAGGAAUACAUCGGAAUCUACUUUUUCGUGGGGGAUAACGUAGGGAAACUUACGCUAAUACCGCAUACGACCUACGGGUGAAAGCAGGGGAUCUUCGGACCUUGCGCGAUUGAAUGAGCCGAUGUCGGAUUAGCUAGUUGGCGGGGUAAAGGCCCACCAAGGCGACGAUCCGUAGCUGGGCUGAGAGGAUGAUAAGUCACAGUGGAACUGAGACGGGGUACAGACUCCUACGGGAGGCAGCAGUGGGGAAUAUUGGAGGAUGGGCGAAAGCCUGAUCCAGCCAUGCCGCGUGGGGGAAGAAGGUCUUAGGAUUGUAAAGCCCUUUUGUUGGGAAGGAAAGGAAGCAAGUUAAUACCCUACUGUUCUGACGGUACCGAAAGAAUAAGCACCGGCUAACUUCGUG